Molecule: non-coding RNA, 90 nt
Filed under: Elusimicrobiota bacterium
Lineage: Bacteria; Pseudomonadati; Elusimicrobiota
Description: Elusimicrobia bacterium c-di-GMP sequence
Rfam family: c-di-GMP-I riboswitch aptamer
About the family: GEMM was predicted in a large-scale screen for bacterial structured RNA regulatory elements. Genes associated with GEMM are involved in a diverse array of functions, including chemotaxis regulation, signal transduction, secretion and chitin.
Source: RNAcentral
UUUAAAGCAUGGCAAACCUGAGGAAACUCGGGGACGCAAAGCCACGGGGCUAAAGAUAGGGGGCCUAUCCACGCCAGCCGGGUUACCGAA